This 889-nucleotide ribosomal RNA is filed under the name gut metagenome. RNAcentral's name for it is "bacterial SSU rRNA". It matches the Rfam family "Bacterial small subunit ribosomal RNA", at positions 31 to 954 of the family's 1533-position model. The record is from RNAcentral.
GAACGCUGGCGGCAGGCUUAACACAUGCAAGUUGAACGUGAUUUGUUUGGUGCUUGCACCGAGCAAUGAAAGUAGCGCACUGGUGAGUAACACGUGGGAACGUACCUUUUGGUGGGGAACAACAGUUGGAAACGACUGCUAAUACCGCAUAAGCCCUGAGGGGGAAAGAUUUAUCGCCGAAAGAACGGCCCGCGGAAGAUUAGGUAGUUGGUGGGGUAACGGCCUACCAAGCCGACGAUCUAUAGCUGGUCUGAGAGGACGAUCAGCCACAUUGGAACUGAGACACGGUCCAAACUCCUACGGGAGGCAGCAGUGAGGAAUAUUGGGCAAUGGAGGCAACUCUGACCCAGCCAUGCCGCGUGAGUGAAGAAGGUUUUCGGAUUGUAAAGCUCUUUCGGGUGUGACGAUGAUGACGGUAGCACCUAAAGAAGCCCCGGCUAACUUCGUGCCAGCAGCCGCGGUAAUACGAAGGGGGCAAGCGUUGUUCGGAAUUACUGGGCGUAAAGGGAGUGUAGGCGGUUAUGUAAGAUAGUGGUGAAAUCCCAGAGCUUAACUUUGGAAUUGCCAUUAUGACUAUGUGGCUAGAAUUACAGAGAGGAUAGUGGAAUACCCAGUGUAGAGGUGAAAUUCGUAGAUAUUGGGUAGAACACCAGUGGCGAAGGCGACUAUCUGGCUGUAUAUUGACGCUGAGGCUCGAAAGCAUGGGGAUCAAACAGGAUUAGAUACCCUGGUAGUCCAUGCUGUAAACGAUGAGUGCUUGUUGUCGGUGUAAAAUCGGUGACGAAGUUAACGCGUUAAGCACUCCGCCUGGGGAGUACGGUCGCAAGAUUAAAACUCAAAGGAAUUGACGGGGACCCGCACAAGCGGUGGAGCAUGUGGUUUAAUUCGA